UGGGGAAUAUUGCACAAUGGGCGCAAGCCUGAUGCAGCCAUGCCGCGUGUGUGAAGAAGGCCUUCGGGUUGUAAAGCACUUUCAGCGAGGAGGAAGGUGGUGGACUUAAUACGUUCAUCAAUUGACGUUACUCGCAGAAGAAGCACCGGCUAACUCCGUGCCAGCAGCCGCGGUAAUACGGAGGGUGCAAGCGUUAAUCGGAAUUACUGGGCGUAAAGCGCACGCAGGCGGUUUGUUAAGUCAGAUGUGAAAUCCCCGGGCUCAACCUGGGAACUGCAUUUGAAACUGGCAAGCUAGAGUCUCGUAGAGGGGGGUAGAAUUCCAGGUGUAGCGGUGAAAUGCGUAGAGAUCUGGAGGAAUACCGGUGGCGAAGGCGGCCCCCUGGACGAAGACUGACGCUCAGGUGCGAAAGCGUGGGGAGCAAACAGAUUAGAUACCCUGGUAGUCCAGCGCUGUAAACGAUGUCGAUUUUGGAGGUUGUGCCCCUUGAGGCGUGGCUUCCGGAGCUAACGCGUUAAAUCGACCGCCUGGGGAGUACGGCCGCAAGGUUAAAACUC
Molecule: ribosomal RNA, 557 nt
Filed under: uncultured bacterium
Lineage: Bacteria
Description: partial 16S ribosomal RNA
Rfam family: Bacterial small subunit ribosomal RNA
Source: RNAcentral